Molecule: long non-coding RNA, 909 nt
Organism: Oreochromis aureus
Lineage: Eukaryota; Metazoa; Chordata; Actinopteri; Cichliformes; Cichlidae
Exons: 2
Source: RefSeq, a predicted model, not a curated record
UCCUUUUUAGGGCAUGUGGGCUUUGAUAACAGCCGGCUUUCCAGUCGCUCUGCAAAGAAAAUUCACAAAACAUUUCUUAUUUGGUAAGCUUGUUAACAAAUUUUAGUUCAGUUUUGCUGAAAGUUAUAGCAUGCAUCAGGUAAGAAGCAAUUGGUUUUUAAAAAGCAUAUACAUUCCCCAAAACAUUUUUAUUAUGUGCAUUUUGGAGAAUAAAAGAUUGUACACAAUUUCCCUUUUUAAAGUAAAAAGAUUAUUAAGUGUAAUUCUUACUUAUUCAGUAGAUUAAAGUAUUGAAACAUCAUUAUUCAUAAAAUAUGCACAUUACAAAAUUAAAGUUAUUCAAAAAUUACUCAAGUACUUACUCCAAUACUCACAUUAUUCAAGUAAAUUUAAUUUUUGCCAAUGUAAUGUCACAUAAAAUCUUAAUCUGAAUAAGGGUUCUGAACCCCACUGUCACGGCCAGGGGAUCAGCAGGCAGUGUUUUUGUGGGGUUUUUUUUUUCUCUCACCCGCUCUCGCUCGCGCUCGCUCGCUCUCGCUCUCUCACUCGCUCUCUCACCCGCCAGGGCGGAACUCAUGGUGGAUUCACGCCCUCGGCCCACGCCCCUCUGAAGAGGAAACACCUGGGCCUCAUCAGUGCAGCCAGCAUUUAAGCCAGGGAGUGGCUUCUACUCAUCGCUGGAUAGUUGUGGAUCCCCUGGACCCGACUCUGCAUUCCCCGAGCAGAUUCCCUUUUUGUGUGAGUGUUUGGAGAGAGAGUCAGAAGAGGAGGGUUAGAAGAGGAGGUCUUUCCCCUACCUGGAUUUCCCCGGAGCCUUUUCCCUGUCACCGCUUUGUAUAUAGCACUAUCCCCUGCACUGUUUGUAUAUACACCUGGUGGAACUGUAAUAAAUACUGACUGUGCCUCUGA